This 1243-nucleotide ribosomal RNA is filed under the name Streptococcus pneumoniae. RNAcentral describes it as "bacterial SSU rRNA". The stretch from base 2 to 823 matches the Rfam family "Bacterial small subunit ribosomal RNA", at positions 9 to 873 of the family's 1533-position model. Lineage: Bacteria; Bacillati; Bacillota; Bacilli; Lactobacillales; Streptococcaceae. The record is from RNAcentral.
AGAGUUUGAUCCUGGCUCAGGACGAACGCUGGCGGCGUGCCUAAUACAUGCAAGUAGAACGCUGAAGGAGGAGCUUGCUUCUCUGGAUGAGUUGCGAACGGGUGAGUAACGCGUAGGUAACCUGCCUGGUAGCGGGGGAUAACUAUUGGAAACGAUAGCUAAUACCGCAUAAGAGUAGAUGUUGCAUGACAUUUGCUUAAAAGGUGCACUUGCAUCACUACCAGAUGGACCUGCGUUGUAUUAGCUAGUUGGUGGGGUAACGGCUCACCAAGGCGACGAUACAUAGCCGACCUGAGAGGGUGAUCGGCCACACUGGGACUGAGACACGGCCCAGACUCCUACGGGAGGCAGCAGUAGGGAAUCUUCGGCAAUGGACGGAAGUCUGACCGAGCAACGCCGCGUGAGUGAAGAAGGUUUUCGGAUCGUAAAGCUCUGUUGUAAGAGAAGAACGAGUGUGAGAGUGGAAAGUUCACACUGUGACGGUAUCUUACCAGAAAGGGACGGCUAACUACGUGCCAGCAGCCGCGGUAAUACGUAGGUCCCGAGCGUUGUCCGGAUUUAUUGGGCGUAAAGCGAGCGCAGGCGGUUAGAUAAGUCUGAAGUUAAAGGCUGUGGCUUAACCAUAGUAGGCUUUGGAAACUGUUUAACUUGAGUGCAAGAGGGGAGAGUGGAAUUCCAUGUGUAGCGGUGAAAUGCGUAGAUAUAUGGAGGAACACCGGUGGCGAAAGCGGCUCUCUGGCUUGUAACUGACGCUGAGGCUCGAAAGCGUGGGGAGCAAACAGGAUUAGAUACCCUGGUAGUCCACNAAAAAAAGAACCACACCUACUAUGAACAAGACCCAGAAAAAGUAGCCUUAUUUCUUAAGAAUUUUAAUAGUUUAAAGCACCUAGCACCUGUUUAGAUUGAUGAAACAGGAUUCGAUACUUAUUUUUAUCGAGAAUAUGGUCGCUCAUUAAAAGGUCAGUUAAGAAGAGGCAAAGUAUCUGGAAGAAGAUAUCAGAGGAUUUCUUUGGUUGCAGGUCUAACAAAUGGUGAGUUAAUCGCUCCAAUGACUUACGAAGAGAUGAUGACGAGCGACUUUUUUGAAGCAUGGUUUCAGAAGUUUCUCUUACCAACAUUAACCACACCAUCGGUUAUUAUUAUGGAUAAUGCAAGAUUCCAUAGAAUGGGUAAGUUAGAACUUUUAUGCGAGGAGUUUGGGCAUAAACUUUUACCUCUUCCUCCCUACUCACCUGAGUACAAU